CCUACGGGCGGCUGCAGUGGGGAAUAUUGCACAAUGGGCGCAAGCCUGAUGCAGCCAUGCCGCGUGUGUGAAGAAGGCCUUCGGGUUGUAAAGCACUUUCAGCGGGGAGGAAGGCGGUGAGGUUAAUAACCCCAUCGAUUGACGUUACCCGCAGAAGAAGCACCGGCUAACUCCGUGCCAGCAGCCGCGGUAAUACGGAGGGUGCAAGCGUUAAUCGGAAUUACUGGGCGUAAAGCGCACGCAGGCGGUCUGUCAAGUCGGAUGUGAAAUCCCCGGGCUCAACCUGGGAACUGCAUUCGAAACUGGCAGGCUAGAGUCUUGUAGAGGGGGGUAGAAUUCCAGGUGUAGCGGUGAAAUGCGUAGAGAUCUGGAGGAAUACCGGUGGCGAAGGCGGCCCCCUGGACAAAGACUGACGCUCAGGUGCGAAAGCGUGGGGAGCAAACAGGAUUAGAUACCCUAGUAGUC
This 465-nucleotide ribosomal RNA is filed under the name uncultured Klebsiella sp. RNAcentral describes it as "bacterial SSU rRNA". It matches the Rfam family "Bacterial small subunit ribosomal RNA", at positions 338 to 795 of the family's 1533-position model. The record is from RNAcentral. Lineage: Bacteria; Pseudomonadati; Pseudomonadota; Gammaproteobacteria; Enterobacterales; Enterobacteriaceae.